AGAGAAGGGGAAAAAUAAGGCAGGGCGGCUCAAGGCCGCUCCGGCGCACGGCAAAGCGCCAAGGUCCCUCGCUCGGGCGGCCCCGCCGGCGGGAUCCGCGGGUGCCCUGCGCAGCAGGCAGAGACCGCGGGGUUCAGCCCGCUUCAGCGGCGCGACAGGCCCCGGCCGGAGCGAGGUCUGGCCCGAGGUCUCAACAUGGACACCGUGAGGAAACGCUCAUGCAUCCCCCCAGGCGGCCGCGGAAGGACGGGCGGAGCGGGGCCUUUUACAUCGCUACCCUCCGCCACUAGGGCGUGACGGAGCCCCCGGCCUCCGCGCUGGGGGAGGGGAGCGGGCACAGAAUGAAGCACUUUGCCAGUCAGCAUCUCCCUUUUACUUUAAGGUGGGGGUUUCAGCAGUUGCAUUCAUUCACUUGGCACCUUUAUAAAUAAGGUUUAGCAGAACAAAUUGUUCAGAAGUCAUCCAGAAGCAGAGUCUGACAGUCUGUCUUGUUUACUAUCACUGCUCAUAUGGAUCAGCAUUGUACAAACCUGAGUGUCAACACAGCAGAACAAGAAUUUCCACCAGGUAAUUCCAAAGCUCCUAUAUCUGGCAUGACUGGACAUAAAAGAGAAAGUUCCAUGAUUUCAUAACUUAACCCUUAUACUUUUCAAUUGUAUUUCCAGGCCUUGGUUCUUUAAGCUUUCAAAAUAUGGUAUAAACUAAUAUAGUAAUUUCUUCACAAGCAAGCAGGGAGUCUGGAAUAAGACAACUUCAAAAUACGUAAACUAGACAGUUUACAUAUCAAAUUGCAGCCAGGGAGUUAUGAACCACAGAACUCAGUACUUCUGCAAUAAAACUUGUGAUUUACUACAA
This is a long non-coding RNA of Harpia harpyja (harpy eagle), 855 nucleotides long. RefSeq lists it as uncharacterized. NCBI's taxonomy places the organism in Eukaryota, Metazoa, Chordata, Aves, Accipitriformes, Accipitridae. The record is from RefSeq and is a predicted model, not a curated record. The transcript is spliced from 2 exons.